UACGGGGGGUGCAAGCGUUAAUCGGAAUUACUGGGUGUAAAGGGCGUGUAGGCGGCACUGUAAGUCAGAUGUGAAAUCUCCCGGCUCAACCGGGAGCGUGCAUCUGAUACUGCAGUACUUGAGUGAUAGAGGGGAAAGCGGAAUUCCUAGUGUAGCGGUAAAAUGCGUAGAUAUUAGGAGGAACACCAGUGGCGAAGGCGGCUUUCUGGCUAUUAACUGACGCUGAGGCGCGAAAGCAUGGGGAGCGAACAGG
Molecule: ribosomal RNA, 253 nt
Filed under: uncultured bacterium
Lineage: Bacteria
Description: partial 16S ribosomal RNA
Rfam family: Bacterial small subunit ribosomal RNA
Source: RNAcentral